CUACACUAAUAAACUUUUCGUCCAUCCACUUUGUCUUGCUCACUAUGCUUAGGGUUAGUGAAGAACAAAUACACUUUAGGUUCUGUUGGUGUUUUCCACCAACAGGACCCAUGCACUUGAACUCUGCCUUGUCUCUAUGAGCAGGUACACUUUGAGCAAAACACGGAGGAGUUUUAUAACUCUCAGACUCUACCAAGUGAAGGACCUGGAUCUACGAGCACAAACACACUGAGCAGGAUACUGCCAACGCCGCACUUCGAACUGCUGGGCAAACGAAGAGGUGCAGAUGUCAAGGUCCGCACCUGAAUCAAAUGACGCACCUGAAGAAUGAAUACGGUGAGAAGUCUAGUUAAGAAGACUUAAAACAUUGAACUCUCACCGAAAGGUAAGAUCAGUAGUUAUCCAUAUUUAUCCUUUCUGCAUUCCCUUUUCCCUUUAAUUAUUUACAUUCCUUAAAUAGAUUAUUAGUUACUCAUGCUAUCUUGAAAAAAAAUAAAAAUGUUAAAAACUACUAAGCCCCAUGUUAGUAUACGAGUGGCAUAAAACCCAUAAGUACCUUCACUGUGGUGGCAUAAAAAUAAAAUAAAUAUUUCUUUUCUGCUUUAUAAAAUAAAAAUAUAAAAACAGGGAGUAAUAUUUAUUGAGGAAGCUCAAUAUGAUGAAGGCUAGAUAUUUAUGCUAACACUUAAUUAGUUCCACAAGCUUUGUUGUCUAUUUGAGCUCCACAGAAUUUAAGAAUCAAGAAGACUAGCAGACAGAGGACAUUCUAAUCGCUGUCAGAAUGCUGCUGACUUUCAAAUACACCUCUGCCACCUGCUAGCUACAUCAAGAGAAAUUACGUCAAAAUUCAGCUUGGGGGAGAGCACCCCCAUUUAUCUCGCUAAGUAUUUCUACCUAUCUUUAUACUUAUAUUAUAUUAGAAUAUUAAAAUACAUAAACUAUGAAAAACCAAAUAGAGAUUUUGUGCUUAUAUAUAUCUUUUGCUUAGUGUGUUUAAUAAAUAAAUAAAGUGGCUAUUGUGGCAGAACCUCCUAAGUGUUUGGGCCCACCGACACCUGUCAUUGUCCCAAGGACCUCUGACGGUGAUGCCGGGGAUCCUCCCACUCUAGAAGUCCGAUGAGCAUCUCAGGACGCUCAUUCCACCGUUACGUGGGGCGUAUCAAACAAGCUCGUCUUGACCACCAACAGUGGUCAAUUAACGAAAAUUUCUUCUUUUCGCCCUUACAGGAUAGCAAGUGGCCACCUUAACACCAGGAUCACUCGUUGCGAAGACAUUGUAGUAUCACAGACGACACAAGACCAAAAUAAUAUUUCAGAGUAAAACAACUGAAGUACUACAUAACUUAAUUUACAAAAGGAGCAACUUAAACUUUAGCAUAGAGAUUACAAAUUUACAGACCCUGCCCAUGGGUCACGCUCACUCUUCCUCAUCGUCAACCUCGACAACGGACACACAACAGGGUCCGAAACAAGUCGGCUCCUGAGCUUCACCUGCAACAGGGGUUAUAAAACCCUAAGUACGGGAGUACUCAACAAGACUUACCUGGCGGAAAAAGAGAAGAAAUUUGGAAUGCAGGCUUGGGGUAGACAAGGGAUGGCUGAGCAAGGAGCCAAAGUGUUUUGCUAAAAAGCUUACUAAUAGUGCAUCCUUACUUUCAAGUUUUACCCGCGAAUUCCUCUCCUUAAGAGGCCGAGGAGUUCCUCGGAGACUUCCCAAGUCUCGGAUCCUACUUCCUCGAACAGAGCACCGACCUUGGGGUUCGGUUCAACGGUCGCUCCUUCGGUCACGUGCACUAUACGCAAAAUGAUGAAUGCUCAUGAUAUGCAUAUGACAAAUAUUUAAGAAGGACCGAGUUAACUACAACGGGCCUUCUUGGUGCAAUACAGACUGAACAAUAAUUAAAGUUGUUUAUCAUCUUAGUAUCUUUACCCAAGAGGUUACAUCAGUAAACUAAGAUUUCUCUUAAUUCAUAAUUAUCCUAAAUUAACUAAUUAUUAAUCCUUUUUAUUUUAAUUAAUUCUUGACUAAGUAUUCAUGACAGUAAUUAAACAUUAAUGCCAAACAAUAAUUAAAUGUCAAAGGUCAUCAAGGUUAAUGACCUCAGGUCGUCACACAAUCCCAAAAUCACUAAAACCCUAAUUUUGAGAAUUUAACUAAUUAUUAUCUAAUUAUUCUAGAAUUAUUAUUUAAUUACUAAUCAAGGGUUUAAUAAUAUUUUAUCCAAACUUUAUCCAAAUGCCACCAAAUUUUGUGUGGAGCCAGGGAAUAAUAUUCAGAGGCAUCCCACAAAUUUUGGUGAUUUUUGGACAUAUCACUAAAUUAUUAAAAUUCAUAGAAGUUUUAUUUACUAAUUAAAAGAGACAAUUUUUAUAAACAUUCAAACUACCAGAAAAUAGCACCUAAUAUUUAUCUUAUGUUCUAUCCAUUUUAUUGAAUCUAUACAAAAAUUUCCAUUAUUUUUGAAUUAGUAUACAAUUUUCUACACAAUUCUACAAAUCAAGCAUUUUUAAACAAAAAGGAAAAAGGAAAAACACACUGCGCUAUGCGGCCGGCCCGCUUCGCUUUGGCCCAAGCCGGCCCGAGAACCUCCCGCGUCGCGCGCGGGCGCUGCUCGUCACAUGCGGCCACUGACGGGCGGGUCCCGCCCGUCAGAUUCUCCUUCCACCUCCUGUCGCGGCUCCGGUGAGCUCAAGCUCAUCGCCGGAGAGCUCCCGGCCUCUGCGGUAGGGUGGGCUAGCACCUUCGGCCUCUCGCGCAACCCCUGGGACACACGGGACAACCCCUACUCCCUCCUAACCCUCCUGCUCACGUCCACGGCGGACGGCGACACUAACGGCGCGAGCACCGGCCACUGCAAGCGGGUAGAACGCGAACCAACCAGCGCAUAAGCUUCAGGGGCUCACCGUGACUUCAACGGAGCAACGAGCAGCGAUGGAAAGGCUUGGAGCAGCUCUGGCCACGGUGAAGUACUUACGGCGGUGCUUCGGCCGGAGUUGAAGGAGAACGGCUCGGUUGCGGGCUAGGGGAGGCUAUAGCUCGCGACAAAGGGUCCAGGGAGUAGCUGAGCUCAAGGCGAAGCUCUGGAGGUGCUUUGGGGGCUCGGACAGGGAGUGGACAUGAUGAAUUUUGUGGGCGACGAAGUUCACCGGCGUCGGGCGCGAGAGAAAUAAACGGAGCACGUCGGCUGGUGCAGUGGCUUAUAUCACGAACGGAGGAGACGCCCAGCUUCCACGUCACCUGGCGACACUGGCAGGCAAGCAGGCUGUGUGCAUGCACGCAUGCGCACGGCGCUGCCCGCGCGGCGGCUGCGCUGGACAGGGGCGCCGUGAUCCCUAUCGGAUCACUGUAGCGAGCUUUAUCCAACCCAUUUUGUGGUUUUGCAAAAUCCGCCCAAAUUUUGAACUGAAGACAAAAUUCCACCAAAAUGAAAGUUGUGCAGAAUUGUACAAGCUACAAAACUCCUUUUGGUGACCAAAGCUAAAUCUGAGUGGAAAUUGGUGAUUUUAACAAAACAGUUUGAAAUUCAAAACUCAAUUCAAGGAAAUUCCAAUUUUUGAAUUGGGGCAGAUCAGAAUUUCCAAAAUUACUUUUGAUUUUCCAUAACAACUUGAAAAACUCCCAACAUGAAAGUUGUUCAACUUUUUGGGAUCUACAACUUUCAUGUUGGCCACUUUUCAAAAUUCCAAAUAUAUUUUGAAUUGGAGAUUCAAAUUGGAAAAGGGGACAGUUUCUGGAAAUCUUUAUUUUCAAAAUUACUUUGAAUUUUGUAUUGAAACUUCAAAAACUCAAAACACUAAAGUUGUACAUCUUGACAAGAUCUACAACUUUUCUUUUGAGCUCAACUUCAAAUUUUGCUUAGUUUUUAAAUUGCACAAAAGAGGGCAAUUCUAGGGUUCUAAAAUCAGGGUUUUUCCCCCCCUAAUCUCUCGGAAAUCUUUCACCCUAGGGAUUAAACAACCAACACAAGCAUCACUUCUCAACAUAAGCACACUUUACUUUCCUAAGCACAAGCAUUCAAAAUAAACUUGUUUUAAUUUGAUGCAUAAUAAUGUGCUUAACAAAUAUGCAAUGCAAUGCUCAUGAUGACAUGAUCCAGUUUUAGUAACCGUAACAUCGGGGAUGUUACAGCCCUUCCCCCUUAAAGAAAUCUCGUCCCCGAGAUUUAAAGCCUUAGGGUAUGUAAUGGAAAAGGAAAUUUGUCAAACUAUUUCACUUUCAACAUUUUCAUAAUACAAGGAGCUAGGGAAGACUACUCAAUUAUAAACAUAUAUGUACAUCAAGUACAUGGCUUUGGCUACUCUUUUUUUCCUGCAUUCGAUUACACUUUCUAUUUAUUGGAUGUUGUCUUGAAGAGAAGCAUGGAACUCAGGAAAAUUCUCUAUUAGAUAAUCUUCAGAUUCCCAUGUGGUAGUUGUUCUUCGAGUAACCCUAUCCUUGCGAUCCAAUACUCGGAUAGGAUAUUCCGCAUAGGUCAGAUCUGGUUCAAGUUCCACCUCUUCGAUAUCUUGAACUUGGUCUGGUACUCGAAGACACUUUUUCAAUUGAGACACAUGAAAUACAUUGUGUAUCCCGGAUAAUCAUUCGGGCAGUUUAAGGCGGUAAGCUACCUGUCCACAUCGGUCAAUGAUUGGAAAUGGACCAAUGUAACGGGGCGCUAACUUGCCUUUAGUGCCAAAAUGAUUUAUUCCUUUCAUUGGGGAUACUUUCAGAUACACAUGGUCACCUUUGGCGAACUUUAAGGGUCGACGUCUUUUAUCGGCAUAACUUUUCUGUCGGGACUGAGCAAUCUUCAAGUUAUUUUGGAUUUGUCUGACUUUGUUCUCAGUUUCUUUCACUAAGUCAACCCCGAAGAACCAUCUUUCUCCGGGUUCCGACCAGUGUAACGGAGUUCGACAUCGACGGCCAUAUAGUGCCUCGAAGGGAGCCAUCAUAAUACUUUCUUGGUUGCUAUUGUUGUAGGAAAACUCUGCUAGAGGCAGGCAGUCAUCCCACUUAUCUGGAAAAUUCAGGGCACAAGAUCUUAAUAGAUCUUCUAGGGUUUGAUUCACCCUCUCUGUUUGCCCACCUAUUUGAGGGUGCUAGGCGGUACUGUAUAAAAGCUUGGUGCCCAAAGAUUCAUGUAAGCAUUUCCAGAACUGGGAGACAAAUUGGGUGCCUCUAUCUGACACUAUUGUCUUUGGCACCCCAUGCAGACUUAGUAUACGAUCAAAAUAGAUCUGAGCAUAGGUGGAAGUAUGAUACGAUGUCUUUACAGGUAAGAAGUGUGCUGUUUUGGUGAGACGAUCCACAAUGACCCAAAUAGAAUCAAAGCCUUUGGCCGUCUUGGGCAAUCCUACUAUGAAAUCCAUACUAAUAUCAUCCCAUUUCCAUGCUGGAAUAGGCAAGGGUUGCAACUCUCCAGCGGAUUUGAGAUGAACAGCUUUGACCUUUCGACAUGUGUCGCAUUGGGCCACAUAGCGAGCUAUUUCUAUCUUCAUUUUCGUCCACCAAAACCUUUGCUUCAGGUCCUGAUACAUUUUAUUGCUCCCGGGGUAGAAUAUCUUGUGGUAUGACCUUCAUCCAGGAUUUGCUGACGUAGCUCAGGUACCUUUGGAACCACUAACCGGUUUUUGAACCAGAUUACUCCUGCAUCAUCCACCUUAAAGUCUGUGGGUGCUCUAUUAAAAAUUUUCUCUUUCAGAUAUUUCAUGCCUUUGUCUUCUUUUUGUGCCUAUAUGAUUUGAGCUUCGAGAUUAAAAUCAAUCUUUAGAUUGGCAAGGCUUCCUUGGGAAAUCAUUUCUAUCCCCCAGUUCUCUAGCUCUUGGCAUAAAGUUAUAUCUUUGGGCGUCACGGUUAAGCAAUUACAGUGAGCCUUACGACUGAGGGCAUCAGCUACUACGUUCGCUUUGCCAGGGUGAUAAUGCACCUCAAGGUCGUAAUCUUUGAUCAAUUCUAGCCACCUUCGCUGGCGCAUAUUAAGUUCAGCUUGAGUGAAGAUAUACUUCAAGCUCUUGUGAUCUGUGUAUAGAUGACAAGUGUUCCCCAACAGAUAAUGGCGCGAGAUCUUUAGUGCAUGUACUACGGCGGCUAGUUCAAGAUCAUGGGUUGGGUAAUUCUCUUCAUGUGGUUUAAGCUGCCUGGAAGCAUAUGCAAUUACUCGACCCUCCUGCAUUAGCACACAGCCUAUCCCUAUUCCUGAUGCGUCACAAUACACAUCAAAGGGCUUUUCAAUAUCUGGCUGGGCUAAGACAGGUGCAGUUGUCAAUAAUCUUUUCAGAGUCUGGAAGGCUUGCUCACAUUCAGGUGACCAAACAAAUUUUGUUUGAUUCUUGAGCAAGGUCAUGAUUGGUUUAGCGACUCUGGAAAUGUCCGGGAUAAAGCGACGGUAAUAUUCCGCCAUACCCAGAAAACUACGGACCUCAUGUACCGUAGUCGGGGGCUUCCAAUUCAACACAUCUUCUACUUUACCUGGGUCUACAGCGACUCCCUCCGCUGAUAAUACAUGCCCCAGGAAAUGGACUUUGUCCAGCCAGAACUCACAUUUGCUGAACUUGGCAUAUAGCUGAUGUUCCCUGAGGCGGGUCAGCACAAUUCUCAAAUGUUCAGCAUGUUCUUUCUUAGUUUUGGAAUAGAUCAGAAUGUCAUCAAUGAAGAUGACCACGAAUUUGUCCAGCUCUGGCAUGAAGACAGAGUUCAUCAAGUACAUGAAAUGGGCCGGUGCAUUGGUCAACCCAAAAGACAUCACCAAGUUUUCAUACAGCCCAUAACGGGUUGUAAAAGCCGUUUUGGGUACAUCCUCCGGCCUAAUUUUGAUUUGAUGGUACCCUGAUCUCAAAUCAAUCUUUGAGAAUACUUUAGCCCCGGCCAACUGGUCAAAUAGCAAGUCAAACGGGGCAAUGGGUACUUGUUCUUAAUCGUCACCUCAUUCAGGGGACGAUAAUCAACACACAGCCUUAAUGUUUGAUCUUUCUUUUUCACAAAUAAGGCUGGGCAACCCCAUGGAGAGGAACUGGGCUGAAUAAAACCUUUCUGCAACAGCUCUUGUAGUUGGGUUUUUAAUUCGGCCAGUUCUUUUGGUGCCAUUCGGUAGGCCCUUCGAGAUAUUGGGGCUGUCCCUUGUUUCAAUUCUAUGCUGAACUGGACAUCCCGGUCCGGUGGCAGACCUGGUAGGUCUUCAGGAAAAACGUCUGGAAAAUCCCGAACCACUGGGAUAUUUUUGACUGCAGCCACAUUAGUGGCAUGAACCUACCCAAUUGAACAUUUGGGAGUAGCUAACUGGAUUAGAAGGUAAGAAUUCUCAUUGGGCAAUGGGAUUUUAAUGGUUCGAUGCAAGGUAUCUAGCACAACCCCUCGUUGUGCCAUCCAGUUCAUGCCUAGUAUGACAUCAAUCUUCUGGUCUUUAAGAACAAUCAUGCUAGUGGGAAAACUAGCCCACCAAAUUCGAUGGGUAUCUGGUGAACCAUUUCAUUAGAACUCAGCCGUUCUCCUGGCGACUGUAUAUAAAAAUGAUCUUUUGUUUCCCCAAUGGGUAUGCCAUGCUUUAUCACGAAGGUGCGGUUGAUGAAUGUAUGAGAUGCACCAGAAUCGAAAAGCAUUAAAGCAGGAUGUUUCGCAAUAGGAAAUGUACCCAUCAUCACCGGUUCUCCUUCCGGUAUCCUCUCCACCUCUGUAUGGAAGACUUGUCCCGCUUUCUUUAUGGGUUUACCCCUUUGCACAUUUUGUCCUUUCUGAGCCCGAGUCCUGAAUUGGCUCUGCUGGGGUUGGCCAAUGGGUGGCCUUUGGAAAGUGGGGUUGGUUUGGCGGGGGUAGGGGCAUUCUUUGGAAAAAUGCCCAGGCUUACCACAAUUGAGACAGGGAUAAUUGUGGUUGGGUGGAGCAGUGGGAUGAACACCUGGGGCGUUCGGUUGGUGUGGUGCAGUGGCGAUGGCAGUAGGUCGAGGAUAUACCUGCUGCCCUGGUCUAUAUUGUGGAUGGGAAAAGGGACCACGAUAAGGUGACAGCGCUUGAAAGCGUCCGUGGCCCUGUGGAUGAUAAAUGAUUCUCUGGCGCUUUUGACCGCGACCAGAGAAGGAGGAAGAAGCGGCCUUCUUCUUGGCUUCUUUGUGCUUUCUAUUCUUUUCUUCUGAGGCGAUGGCAAUAUUUACCGCCUCGUAAAAGGUAGCAUUUUGACAGGUGGUCAUCAUGGUUUGAAGUUUGGUAUUGAGACCACGCAUGAAGCAGGCCUUCUUCUUUCUAUCCGUGUUCACAUGGUCUGUGGCAUAUUGAGAAAGAUGAUUAAAUUUUGCCACGUUCUCCAUGACACUUUUAUCGCCUUGUUGCAAGGCGAGAAAUUCUUCGGCCUUCAUGGCCAUAAGCCCUUCGGGGAUAUAGUGGGCGCGGAGCGCGUCCUUAAAUUCUGUCCAGGUGACCUGGUGUCCUGGACCUUGGAUAGCUAGAAAAUUCUCCCAGCAGGCACUCGCAGCUCCCCGAAGCUGUUGAGCUGCGAACAGGGGCUUCUGAGUUUCCGAACAUCGGAUCAGACUGAACUUGUGCUCCGUUAUUCGGAGCCAGUCAUCAGCCUCUAACGGCUCAUCAGCCUUGGUGAAUACCGGGGGCCUUGUCUCGGUAAAGUCCACGUACCGAGUUUCUCCCUCCCCAUUGUGCUGUGCUCUGAAGUUUGGGGCGGGGUGUGGUUGGCGUUGUGCUAACUCGCGCAACAAGCGUGCGUUGUCGGUGGUGGCACUCAAAAGAACAGCAAUGGCAUCAGCCAGGGAAGGUGGAGCAGGUGGAGGGUUGGGGAUGUCAUCCCCUCCCUUAGAGGAACCGGCUCCAUCAGAUCCAUGAGUACGCAUCGGCAUCUGCUACAAGAGUCAUAUGUACUUGUUACCACAUGAAUUCAUAACUUAGAACAUAUCUUACAUACUUCCAUUUAUUUAUCAAACAUCAGUUCAACACACUGGAAAUAAACAAGUACAACUUUUAAAAGAAAAGACACUAUACUACAAACCCGACCCCACUACGGUAAACUAGGAAUCCUACAACGACGUUGCCCGCGACUUCACCGAACUAGUCGGUGUGGCCAGAGCUGUAGCCCUGGUCGUCAUUGCCAUCGUCCUGAUUACCCCCCGGGUUAUCAUCACCGGAGUCAGAUUCCUCCUCGUCACUGAGGUCUUGGUCGGGUUCCCCAGCAUCCGCCAACUCUCCAUCCGUAUCCAUCUCCCCUUCACCUGGAGGUGGAUGGAGCUGAUGAUAUAGGUCGAAUGCAAUAUCAUGGUAUUGCAUUGCCAAGUCGUUGACGGUGUCUAAAUGAUGUGCCAGCUCAAGCUUCUCUAGCUGUAGCUGGUCCUCCCGCUGCCACGCGACAUCCCUUUGCACGGUGACAGUGGCCGCCAUCUUCACGUACAGAUCUUUAAGGUACUUGGUUUUGUCCAGCUUUGCCUUCAUCCUGGUCAGCUCGUGGCUGUGUGCGCUCCUGGCCUCCUCUUCUCGGGCAAUAGCGGCAUUCCUCUCCUCCACCAUACGGGACAGCAUGGCCUCGCAGUUCUCUGUGGCUUGUUUUUGUUUUAAUAAUUGAGCUUUUAGUUCACCAAUCUCCAUGACGUUGUACAUCCUUUCUCUCGUCACUUCGGUUAGCUCGGCAGACAACCUUUCCACCUCUUGCUGCGAGGGUGAACGGCUACUGCUUGCUUGAUCGCUUCGCGGGGCCAACUGGUGUUUAGGGACCCCUUUAGGACCAGUUCACUUGCGCGGGGUCUGCUUCUAACGAGCCAUCCUGUAGAGGGUAAGUUUAGAUUAGUAAGGGAGAACUUAAAGGUUAGGAAGAAUGGGAUUGAUUCAAUACAACCCAACCCAAACAAGGAGGAAGGAACUUAACCAAGUGAUAUAUCAUGAUGCAUGCACGUACUUAUGAUUCCUAUUCGCAAUUCAUAACGAUAUUACUUCAAAUUUUAACAACAUAGGGCAAUACUUUAUGUUGCUCCUCCAUACCACUUCAAAAAUUCUAAGAAGGCCUACAGACAAGGGUAAGAUAAGACUAAAGCACUUGGACUCAAAAUAGGCAAGUUUAUAGUAUUGGAUCCAAAUGAGUUUUGAAGUUUUUCAAAGGAUACAGCAGUCAUCUUAGCAACGAAUGCUCUGAUACCACGCUGUGGCAGAACCUCCUAAGUGUUUGGGCCCACCGACACCUGUCAUUGUCCCAAGGACCUCUGACGGUGAUGCCGGGGAUCCCCCACUCUAGAAGUCCGAUGAGCAUCUCAGGACGCUCAUUCCACCGCUACCUGGGGCGUAUCAAACAAGCUCGUCUUGACCACCAGCAGUGGUCAAUUAACGAAAAUUUCUUCUUCUCGCCCUUACAGGAUAGCAAGUGGCCACCUUAACACCAGGAUCACUCGUUGCGAAGACAUUGCAGUAUCACAGACGACACAAGACCAAAAUAAUAUUUCAGUGUAAAACAGCGGAAGUAUUACAUAACUUAAUUUACAAAAGGAGUUCUUCCAAAUAGUAUAGUGUUAUUACAAGCCAGGUCCAGCGGAGCAACUUAAACUUUAGCACAGAGAUUACAAAUUUACAGACCCUGCCCAUGGGUCACGCUCACUCUUCCUCGUCGUCAACCUCGACGACGGUCACACAACAGGGUCCGAAACAAGUCGGCUCCUGAGCUUCACCUGCAACAGGGGUUAUGGAACCCUGAGUACGGGAGUACUCAACAAGACUUACCCGGUGGAAAAAGAGGAGAAAUCAGGAAUGCAGGCUUAGGGUAGACAAGGAGUGGCUGAGCAAGGAGCCAAAAUGUUUUGCGGAAAAGCUUACUAAUAGUGCAUCCUUACUUUCAAGUUUUACCCGCCAAUUCCUCUCCUUAAGUGGCCGAGGAGUUCGAGGACAAGCUAACUAGUUGUCUCCCACAGACAAGUCUGUGAGUUCCUAGUCCUAAAUUAAAGUGUUAUUUAUUCAACGGCCAUAGCUUCAUGUCACUCUGGGUCCGGGAAUUGGGAUCCGAACCUCAUGAGACAUUUUUCCUUCUCUCAUUUUAUCACUUAGUUGCAUAAUUAACUACGAUGAGGGUCAGUGGAUUGAGUCUCCCAAUCGGGGAGCAACGACGAUUCGAACCGCUUAGCAAUCCAGCUGGAGUUCCUAACCACCCGACAUAUGUAGAACCAAAUCGUGCAUACGUCAACCCAAAUCAAGCUCUCCCCAAAUUUGACCAGGUUCGCGGCACCCGAGAGCACAGUACUCCACCAUCCUAUAGCCGAUCUAGAUGUUUUCCGGUCAUCUCAGAUCCGUAAGGUGGGUACACACUACUCUCGCCAUCGCUCCACGCCCAGUGCGCGAGUAGCUGUUCGCGUCGAGGGAUCACAAGACCGGGCUUACGAACGGCAAGUGGCUAGUACUAUAAAUUCUCAACCCAGCGGGCCAUCAACGGACCGGUCCUUAACCGACACAGUUGGAGACACUACUUUAAGACUCCAUUCUUAAAGCAAGUCCACCGACCGGUCUCAAAUUGAAACUUCAUUGAGCAUAAGUGUAUUCCACAACAACCCUUCAAACUUUCUUAUUUGAAAGCCUAUCUAGUAGCAGGGCUAAGCAUUACUACGCAGUUUUUAAAAUAAAACAGGUGCCAAGGACAAGAUAACAAAUAUCAAGGUAGUAAAUGCAGUAAGUAGGUUAACCCAAUUCUUGACUACCUAAUGCGGCAUUUUCAAUUCAUAAGUGAUAAAAGAUUUAAAACAUUCAAGGAGGGGUUCAUGCAUCCGGGGCUUGCCUUGGUUGCAGAGCUGAGAGGGUUCCUCGGAGACUUCCCAAGUCUCGGAUCCUACUUCCUCGAAUGGAGCACCGACCUCGGGGUUCGGUUCAACGGUCGCUCCUUCGGUCACGUGCACUAUACGCAAAAUGAUGAAUGCUCAUGAUAUGCAUAUGUCAAAUAUUUAAGAAGGACCGAGUUAACUACAACGGGCCUUCUUGGUGCAAUACAGACUGAACAAUAAUUAAAGUUGUUUAUCAUCUUAGUAUCUUUACCCAAGAGGUUACAUCAGUAAACUAAGAUUUCUCUUAAUUCAUAAUUAUCCUAAAUUAACUAAUUAUUAAUCCUUUUUAUUUUAAUUAAUUCUUGAUUAAGUAUUAAUGACAGUAAUUAAACAUUAAUGCCAAACAAUAAUUAAAUGCCAAAGGUCAUUAAGGUUAAUGACCUCAGGUCGUCACACAAUCCCAAAAUCACUCAAACCCUAAUUUUGAGAAUUUAACUAAUUAUUAUCUAAUUAUUCUAGAAUUAUUAUUUAAUUACUAAUCAAGGGUUUAAUAAUAUUUUAUUCAAACAUUAUCCAAAUGCCACCAAAUUUUGUGUGGAGCCAGGGAAUAAUAUUCAGAGGCAUCCCACAAAUUUUGGUAAUUUUUGGACAUAUCACUAAAUUAUUAAAAUUCAUAGAAGUUUUAUUUACUAAUUAAAAGAGACAAUUUUUAUAAACAUUCAAACUACCAGAAAAUAGCACCUAAUAUUUUUCCUAUGUUCUAUCCAUUUUAUUGAAUCUAUACAAAAAUUUCCAUGAUUUUUGAAUUAGUAUACAAUUUUCUACACAAUUCUACAAAUCAAGCAUUUUUAAACAAAAAGGAAAAAGGAAAAACACACUGCGCUAUGCGGCCGGCCCGCUUCGCUUUGGCCCAAGCCGGCCCGAGAACCUCCCGCGUCGCGCGCGGGCGCUGCUCGUCACAUGCGGCCACUGACGGGCGGGUCCCGCCCGUCAGAUUCUCCUUCCACCUCCCGUCGCGGCUCCGGUGAGCUCAAGCUCAUCGCCGGAGAGCUCCCGGCCUCUGCGGUAGGGUGGGCUAGCACCUUCGGCCUCUCGCGCAACCCCUGGGACACACGGGACAACCCCUACUCCCUCCUAACCCUCCUGCUCACGUCCACGGCGGACGGCGACACUAACGGCGCGAGCACCGGCCACUACAAGCGGGUAGAACGCGAACCAACCAGCGCAUAAGCUUCAGGGGCUCACUGCGACUUCAACGGAGCAACGAGCGGCGAUGGAAAGGCUUAGAGCAGCUCUGGCCGCGGUGAAGUACUUGCGGCGGUGCUUCGGCCGGAGUUGAAGGAGAACGGCUCGGUUGCGGGCUAGGGGAGGCUAGAGCUCGCGACAAAGGGUCCACGGAGUAGCUGAGCUCAAGGCGAAGCUCUGGAGGUGCUUUGGGGGCUCAGACAGGGAGUGGACACGACGAAUUUUGUGGGCGGCGAAGUUCACCGGCGUCGGGCGCGAGAGAAAUAAACGGAGCACGUCGGCCGGUGGAGUGGCUUAUAUCACGAACGGAGGAGACGCCCAGCUUCGACGUCGCCUGGCGACACUGGCAGGCAAGCAGGCUGCGUGCACGCAUGCAUGCGCGCGGCGCUGCCCGCGCGGCGGCUGCGCUGGACAGGGGCGCCGUGAUCCCUAUCGGAUCACUGUAGCGAGCUUUAUCCAACCCAUUUUGUGGUUUUGCAAAAUCCGCCCAAAUUUUGAACUGAAGACAAAAUUCCACCAAAAUGAAAGUUGUGCAGAAUUUUACAAGCUACAAAACUCCUUUUGGUGACCAAAGCUAAAUCUGAGGGGAAAUUGGUGAUUUUAACAAAACAGUUUGAAAUUCAAAACUCAAUUCAAGGAAAUUCAAAUUUUUGAAUUGGGGCAGAUCAGAAUUUCCAAAAUUACUUUUGAUUUUCCAUGACAACUUGAAAAACUCCCAACAUGAAAGUUGUUCAACUUUUUGAGCUCUACAACUUUCAUGUUGGUCACUUUUCAAACUUCCAAACAGAUUUUGAAUUGGAGAUUCAAAUUGGAAAAGGGGACACUUUCAAGAAAUCUGUAUUUUCAAAAUUACUUUGAAUUUUGUAUUGAAACUUCAAAAACACCAAAGUUGUACAUCUUGACAAGAUCUACAACUUUGCUUUUGAACUCAACUUCAAAUUUUGCUUAGUUUUUAAAUUGCACAAAAGAGGGCAAUUCUAGGGUUCUAAAAUCAGGGUUUUUCCCCCCUAAUCUCUCGGAAAUCUUUCACCCUAGGGAUUAAACAACCAACACAAGCAUCACUUCUCAACAUAAGCACACUUUACUUUCCUAAGCACAAGCAUUCAAAAUAAACUUGUUUUAAUUUGAUGCAUAAUAAUGUGCUUAACAAAUAUGCAAUGCAAUGCUGAUGAUGACAUGAUCCAGUUUUAGUAACCGUAACAUCGGGGAUGUUACACCUAUGCUAAUCUGAAUCUUAAUAAUAAAACUCUAGCAUGGAUAUGAUGAAUAGUUGCUCUGCCUAAUUUGCAAAUUUGAAGUUCUCUCUCAAGUUUAGACAUAACUGUUAUAAUUUAAAGCUUGCUCUAGAUCUAAACUUGUGGGAUAAAAACUUGAUGUGAAAUCUAAGUUGUUAACGGAUAUGAUAUGGGAAGGUUGAGCUGCUGUUUAUCUGUUCCUAGAGAUGCUAGAAUUCUAGAGAAUUUUAUCUUUGAAAAAUCUUUAAAAUAUUGCAUGAUGAGUUCCUGUAUGAUAAAAGUUUAAAUUCCUACCACAGCCAUAUAUACAUGCUUGCUAGACUUUGAGCCACACAUUUACUAUUUACUGCUUAUGAGCAUUGAGUGUGGUCAAGCUGUGUAGACCCUUAGGAGCUUGUCAUGUGGUUAAAUCAAGAUUUCACUUGCACAUUCACUCAUAUAUGCUACUUCUACUCCGGAAGUACCAUCCACAUAUAUCCACUCAUUUCCAUCUCCAGAACCACCCAAAAAUAUUCUACUCCUAAUCCGGGAGAGAAUAACCAAAAAUAUUUCUAUUUUUCCUUGUGAAAUAAAUGCUCAAGUUAUCUUGCUACUACCACUUGCCAUAUUAUCUCAAGAGAUGAGUGCUCUGAAAAAAAAAUAAAAAAAUAAAAAAAUAAUAAACGAGGAAAUAAAAAGGGGCAAGUGCCCGGAACCUCGAAAGAAAGAAAAAGUGAGACGAGAGGUAAAAAUGGACAAGUGUCCGACAGUAGAAUUAGGGGUACAAGAUACCCACCUGAGAGGAAAGAAAAAGAAGAGCAUCUCAUUCUCCUCAUAAAGUUUCAAAAAGCAAGGAACGUAUGUAUCCCCUCAAAACAGCAAAAUUAGAAUUAGACUUUCACCAUUAUUAUCACCAUCAUCACCAUACACCAUUCAUCCGCCACACAUGCACAUCUUGGUUUGACUUAUUGACUUGUUUCUCUGGAUCCUUGGUUUGACUAUGCAAUAAAUGUCUUGUAAGUAUGUAUUAGCUGUCUCCCACCUAUGAGCUCCAGAUAUUAAAGCCUUAUUAGAGUUGGGUGAGAGAGAAGGCAAUGUCACUAUGCCUUAUACCACAAAUACCAUAUAUCUUGAGAGAAGGCAUAUACCAUCACUGCCUUGGUAAGGAUCCAGAAAUACCACAAAAGAGAGAUUUAGAGAGUCAUACAAGGAAUCUCUGAGUUUUAUUUGAAAAUCUGCAAAAACUCCAGAGCUAUAGCUGAUGAAGAAUUAUAGACAUAGCACUUGGCUAGACUGUUCUAUCUUUUAACUACUCAAGACAGAAGUGACGGUUACAAGUCCCAUGGUGAAAGGUAAAGUAGGUAAGUUUUAGUUCUUGACAGUUUACUCUAACUUAGAGAUGAGAUCUUAUUUAAAAGCAUGUGUACCGUCAAAUUUUUUAAGAUAUUGCAACAACUUCUGAUCCAGUGCUGAGUCUAUCCUUGCUCAGGGAUGAGCAAGAGGUAAGCUUGGGGGAGUUUGUUGACGGUCCUUAAGUAUUAAAUUUAAUUAUCAAAUAAACAAAGCAAAGGAUCCAAAUGAAAUCAACAUCUUGACUUAGGGUUUUAUCUGACAGAAUUCCAUGAGUUCUGGUGUUUGUCUAUUUCUGCAGGGGGUUAUCAGGAAAUACGGAAGAAAGGCCCACAUGUCGGGAUUACAUAGAGAUAUCAACGUACCGCGCAAUUAUUUUACAUCUAGAAGACUCCAGAAGCCACGGGAAGGAAGCGGAGGCCGAACGGAGCCAGGACCUGGGCGCCCGCCCUGCUAUAGUGGCCAAUCACGUUCAACCUCGCGGAUUAUGCUCCACCGACCUAAAGGAUCAAGAAUAACCAUUCAAUCAAUGUCGGUUUGAUUCGACGGCCAAGGUUCACUUGAGGGGACUAGAUAACCAGACCCCCUGGCCCCUGGAGGAGGCAAACCCUUGAUCAUUAUUCAUUAUUCAUAGACAGAGCAAAAGCUAGGGUUUAGAGAUGAGAGCUCUCCUCUCUUCUCUAAACUAGAGUAGAUCUAGAUAGUAGCAAGAUGGGGAGCGAAGGAGGAUUAGAGGAGAGGCCGGCC
This 16256-nucleotide long non-coding RNA is filed under the name Sorghum bicolor (sorghum). RNAcentral's name for it is "long non-coding RNA (SBIC_LNC010679)". The record is from RNAcentral. Lineage: Eukaryota; Viridiplantae; Streptophyta; Magnoliopsida; Poales; Poaceae.